Molecule: small nucleolar RNA, 137 nt
Organism: Astatotilapia calliptera (eastern happy)
Lineage: Eukaryota; Metazoa; Chordata; Actinopteri; Cichliformes; Cichlidae
Product: small nucleolar RNA SNORA15
Source: Ensembl
GCAUGGGCGAAUUCUGGUCCAGCUGCUCUGUGCUGGAUACAGUCAGACACCAUGCAACAGCCACGUCUCAUUUCCACUAAAUUAGUGGAUGAGUGCCUUCCUCAAGCUCAUCCAGCUGCGUGGGAAUGAGUACAAAC